This 252-nucleotide ribosomal RNA is filed under the name uncultured bacterium. Its description in RNAcentral is "partial 16S ribosomal RNA". It matches the Rfam family "Bacterial small subunit ribosomal RNA", at positions 524 to 776 of the family's 1533-position model. The record is from RNAcentral.
UACAGAGGGGGCAAGCGUUGUUCGGAAUUACUGGGCGUAAGGGCGCGUAGGCGGCCGCCUAAGUCAGACGUGAAAUCCCUCGGCUCAACCGGGGAACUGCGUCUGAUACUGGGUGGCUUGAAUCCGGGAGAGGGAUGCGGAAUUCCAGGUGUAGCGGUGAAAUGUGUAGAUAUCUGGAGGAACACCGGUGGCGAAGGCGGCAUCCUGGACCGGCAUUGACGCUGAGGCGCGAAAGCCAGGGGAGCAAACGGG